Leucoraja erinaceus (little skate) is the source of this 3294-nucleotide long non-coding RNA. RefSeq lists it as uncharacterized. Lineage: Eukaryota; Metazoa; Chordata; Chondrichthyes; Rajiformes; Rajidae. The transcript has 3 exons. The record is from RefSeq and is a predicted model, not a curated record.
AUACUCUAUUUGUUUUCUAGACUAGUUUAAAGGGUUUAGUGGGUUCUGUUUCACUUCUUUUGCCUGGAAGCCAAGCCAGCAUUGGAGCUAAGGCAUCUGCAGCUCUUUAAUGUCCCAGAGAGCACAGCACGCAUGACUAACAUAGUGUAAAUAAACACAGCUGAGCCAGGCAGAAAUUGGAAGGUUUUCUCAUUAGAAAAAUAAAAUAAACAGAUGCGGUUAAGCACUCUGUCUAAAGUGUUUGUCCAAAGAAUGGAGAUCUCUCAGAAGUUUGAGCACAAAGGUGACAGGGCCAAGUCUCGUGUAAAAGGAAUGGAAUCUGUACGGUCCUUUUAACUAAUAGUCCAUGGGGAAGCCUGUUGAUUUUAACCUUAAAGGAGUGUUACGUCUUGGGAUUUUGGCAGCUUUUCUUUUGGUUCUUCAAUAACAAACUUGGGACAGUGGUUUUGUGUUUCACAAGAAGCAGAAUUUAUUGAAGUUGCCCAUUGCUGGUGCUGGGCCAAGAAAUACCUAAUUCAGCCAAUCUGGUUCAAAUGGAGCUGUUUUUAUAAUACAAUGGAAACCAUGGGGCUCUUUAUGAAACACAAGGUUGACUGCACCGCAGCUGUGGCUGGCAUAAAGCUCGGGGGCCAGAUGUGAUUUGUGUCCAGCAGUUCAGUUCAACGUAUGAACAAAGGACCCAGGGUCUUUAGCACCUAUCUCAACAUUGAAUUCAUGCGGCAUUAUUAAAGUCAGAAAGGCUACUUUUGGAUGAGAAGGCAAAAGCACCUGAUGGACGUUCCCGAUUGAAGAACAGCAUCAUCCCAAUGAUUACUAUGCAACACCUCCUUCAGGAAAACAUUAUCUGAUCAUUUGUCUUACAGUUAUUGGCAAAAAGUGUCACGACAAUUCCUAUUUACUCCAUUGGCUUUGAUGUACCCGUGUAAUUCUUGUGUAUAUAAAAAGCAUUGCACAGAGCAAAGUUUUCCUUUGUUUUCUAUUUUUCUCUUUGCUUGUUCUUUCACCGUUAACAUCUUUUCAUUCACAUUUUCUUUAUCUCUGCCACCUCAGAAUCUCUAAGAAUUGUAGUGAGCAAAUAAUGAAGUAAGGAAUGGUCCUUCGAUUCUCCUCCCCACUCCACCCUAUCCCCUUCCACCUAAGUCUCUCCCUAUGGCUUCACAUUUGACUCCUCUUAUGACAUUAUUUGAUACCCUUUCGUCUCCUUUUAAUUUCCAGUCUUUGUCACUUACUUCACCGAUAUGCCAUUCAAUCUCACCCUCGCAUACAUCCACUUAUCACCUGCCCCGACUUUAUCCCAUCACCAGACUCAGAUACAAUGUUUUCUCUUGUGUUAUCAGACCUCUGAACACUCCUCCGUUGCUAGGGUACGGUCCGAAUCACCUCCACCCCAUUGUGGACAUUGGACUAUGUCUGUGGAACUGUUGCGCUACAAUGCUGAGAACUAUAUUCUGCCCUCUGUAUCUUCCCCUUUGCUCUAUCUAUUGUACUUGAGUUUGAAGUGAUUGUAUUUAUGCAGAGUGUUAUCUGAUCUGACUGGAUAGCAUGUAAAGCAAAGCUUUUCAUUUGGUCUCAGUAAAGGUAACAAGAAUAAACUUCUUCAGAUCUUUUCCAGUCUGAAGAAGGCCCUUAACUCGAAACAUCGCCUGUCCAUUCCCUCCACAGAUGCUACAUGACCUGUUAUAUCCACCAGCACUUUGUGUUUUGCUUUGUAAAGUAAGGGUUUGUGUUCAUCGUAUUCUUUUCACAAAAUCAAAAUGUUACAAAUGAUAUGAUAGCCAAUCAAAACAUUUAAAGUAUAGCCCAGAGGUAACAAGGGAAAUAAGGAGAUAGAUAUUGAAUAACAUCGGGUGGAAAAGAUUUAGAAGGAUAUGGGCCUAACACAGGCAAAUGGGGCUCACUGAGAUGGGACAUCUUGGUCAGCAUGGGCAAGAUGGGCCAAAGGGUCUGUUUCCUUGCUAUAUGAUUCGAUGACUCUAUAACUGUAAAACCUUAGGCACAAGGACACAAGUUUGAUUUCUAUGACCUUCUCUGCUCAAUGAGUUUAGUGAAAGAUCGUGUAAUAAGCAUAUACAUCAUAUGUUAACCCAAUCAUUCUUGGGAUCAUUCUCAUAAACGUCCCUGGACCCUCUCCAAUGCCAGCACAUCCUUCCUCAGAUAUGGGGCCCAAAAUUACUCGCAAUACUCCAAAUGCAGUCUGACUAGUGCCUUAUAAAACCUUAGCAUUACAUCCCUAUUUUGUAUUCUAGCCCUCUUGAAAUAAUUGCUAGCAUUGCAUUCACCUUCCAUACUACCGAUUCAACUUGGGAAUCCUGCACCAGUUCUCCCAAGUUCCUUUGCACCUCUGAUAUCUGAUAAACAGUCUACGCCUUUAUUCCUACUACUAAAAUGCAUGACAUCACACUUUGCUAUGCUGUAUUCCAUCUGCCACUUCUCAGCCCACUCUCCCAACCUGUCCAAGUCCUUUUGCAGAGUGCCUGCUUUCUCUACACUGCCUGCCCCUACCUAUCUUUGUAUUUUCUGCAAAAUAGAAGGGGACAUAGAAUCAUAUGUAUAGAAAAUAGGUUUAAUAAACUACGAGCCAGCACAGCCAUUCAACAUGAUCAUGGAUGAUCAUCCAAAAUCAGUACCCCGUUACUGCUUUCUCCCCAUAUCCCCUGAUUCCGUUAGCCCUAAGAGCUCUAUCAAACUCUCUCUUGAAUACAUCUGUGGGAUACAAUGGGACAUUUGUGAUAUCCUCCAUGACUCUUUGUAAUGCUUUCAAUCUACAAGCACCUUGAUGCAUGGCCAACACAAAGCACACAUUUCCACACCACAGGUCUGGGUUCUGCUUCACAAACCUACUUUCCCAUAUGGUCCAGAUGAACAUUAAAAACUUUACAAUGAGCUGGCUGAAAACACAAGAACUUGUGCUAGAAUGUUAAUGCUAUUUUAAAAGGGAGUCUUCAAGCAUCUGAUUUUUCUAUUUUUUCCACAUAUGGCGAUGGAAGGCCCAUUAUUCUGGAUGCUCGGUUUUUUACCAUUAUAAUACCUUGCAAAAAAGCAGUCGCCUUCUGAAUUACAAAGAUUCAGUCUUAUGGGGCAAAAUAAGUUAAACAUACAGGCCAACAUAAUGUUAAUUUGCAAUGGUUUCCACUUAAGUGCAAAGGCAUUGUUACAGUCAAUUGACUUAAUGUUACCUUCGUCCUCAAGGGGUUAAUUAGAGCCUCUGUGUACCACAUAAAAGGGGCUUUUACUAUUAACUUGGUAAAUAAAUACACACACACAUUCUUUAUCCUCCGAGGGGUUUCGAGUGAA